RNAcentral lists this ribosomal RNA (545 nucleotides) under uncultured Exophiala. RNAcentral's name for it is "SSU rRNA". It matches the Rfam family "Eukaryotic small subunit ribosomal RNA", at positions 548 to 1098 of the family's 1831-position model. The record is from RNAcentral. Lineage: Eukaryota; Fungi; Ascomycota; Eurotiomycetes; Chaetothyriales; Herpotrichiellaceae.
UUGGAGGGCAAGUCUGGUGCCAGCAGCCGCGGUAGUUCCAGCUCCAAUAGCGUAUAUUAAAGUUGUUGCCGUUAAAAAGCUCGUAGUUGAACCUUGGACCUGGCUGAUCUGUCCUCCUAAUCGAGCGCACGGGUUCGGUCGGGUCUUUCCUUCUGGGGAGCCCUAUGCCCUUCACUGGGUGUAGUGGGGAACCAGGACUCUUACCUUGAAAAAAUUAGAGUGUUCAAAGCAGGCCUUUGCUCGAAUACAUUAGCAUGGAAUAAUAGAAUAGGACAUCGGUUCUAUUUUGUUGGUUUCUAGGACCGCUGUAAUGAUUAAUAGGGAUAGUCGGGGGCGUCAGUAUUCAAUUGUCAGAGGUGAAAUUCUUGGAUUUAUUGAAGACUAACUACUGCGAAAGCAUUCGCCAAGGAUGUUUUCAUUAAUCAGUGAACGAAAGUUAGGGGAUCGAAGACGAUCAGAUACCGUCGUAGUCUUAACCAUAAACUAUGCCGACUAGUGAUCGGACGGUGGUUUUUUUAUGCCCCGUUCGGCGCCUUACGGGAAAC